Molecule: non-coding RNA, 493 nt
Organism: Salvia hispanica
Lineage: Eukaryota; Viridiplantae; Streptophyta; Magnoliopsida; Lamiales; Lamiaceae
Source: RefSeq, a predicted model, not a curated record
UGUAUAUAAAACAGCGGCAUUCCAUUGGAUCCAAAAUUUUAGCUAAACAUAAGCCGGUUUCACUAUUUCACAAUUCCAUAUUCCGUUGACACUGACGAAAAGAAGCUCAGUGACAGUUGAAGCCUUGAGACUGUGUAUGCUCUAACAACCAAGCCUUUGUUUGUUUAGCUUAAACUAGAGUUGUUCAUUCUGAGAUGUCACGUGUUCCAGGAUUUCGUUCUCUUACAACAAAGAGCAAGAAUGCUGUUGUUGCUGGAGGGUUGACGUCAUUUAUCUUUGGGGUGUAUUUCUACACAAUGAGAGCAGUUGGUGGUACAGAUGAACUUCAAGUAGCUAUUGACAAGUUUGAACAUCUGAAACAUAGAGAUGAGCAAGAAGCUACCUUGACACCCAAGGCAUAGUUAUUUAUAUCCCCAGACUUGUUAUGGUUUCUUGAUGUUUGAAUUUUGAAUAAACUCUAAAUUUAUAAUUGGUCUGUUUCACUUGACUAACA